RNAcentral lists this ribosomal RNA (534 nucleotides) under Triticum aestivum (bread wheat). RNAcentral describes it as "partial small subunit ribosomal RNA". The record is from RNAcentral. Lineage: Eukaryota; Viridiplantae; Streptophyta; Magnoliopsida; Poales; Poaceae.
AUGGAAAUGCUAGGGUCACUUCCCAACCUCAUGCAGCUUCGUCUUGAAAGGGAUGCUUAUAUUGGGGAGAAGUUGGCGUUCAAAACGGGAGCAUUCCCAAAUCUCAAGAAGCUCGGUAUUCGUGAUCUGGAUGAACUGAUAGAGUUGAAAUUUGAGGAUGGCACCUCACCCCAGCUGGCAAUGAUACAUAUCUGCUGGUGCGAGUUGAGAUCAGGAAUUACCGGAGUCAACCACCUUCCAAAGCUCCAGGAGAUCUCACUUGGUUUCGGUGGUCGAGUGGCGAAGCUUGCUAUGCUGCAAAGUGAAGUGGAUGCACAUACCAACAGUCCCGUGCUGCGACUGUACAAUGAACGGAGCGGCCACGACCUGUGGGACGUCUUUGUCCAACUGGAAGACGUAACGGGGGAAUCCUCAUCUCUCCAUCCCGAGCCUGCAGCUGCAGGAGAGAGCUCACAGUCCCAAGCAGUGGGCAUGGCGACGGCAAACAUCAGUAACAGCCAAGAUGAUGUGCUUUACACUUACAACUCGUGCUGA